This 224-nucleotide unclassified non-coding RNA is filed under the name Hevea brasiliensis (rubber tree). Lineage: Eukaryota; Viridiplantae; Streptophyta; Magnoliopsida; Malpighiales; Euphorbiaceae. The record is from RNAcentral.
GUGCAUCUGUGGCAUCACAAUUCACAGUCCAAAACUUCAUUUCGGGAAAUUCUUGGUUGCCAGGCACCAAUGUCCCCUUCACUCCUGGUCUUUAAUUAAAUUUUUCCAGCGGUAUUGGAUGUCACAUUGUUAUUUUAUGGGUACUAACUCACUUCCUUGUGGAACUAAAAUAAAUUCCCACUGUCCAAAACAUAAGAAAAUAAGGGGUUGGUUGUGGGAUUUUU